RNAcentral lists this ribosomal RNA (1217 nucleotides) under uncultured eukaryote. RNAcentral describes it as "partial small subunit ribosomal RNA". It matches the Rfam family "Eukaryotic small subunit ribosomal RNA", at positions 576 to 1807 of the family's 1831-position model. The record is from RNAcentral.
UCGGUAAUUCCAGCUCCAGUAGCGUAUAUUAAAGUUGUUGCAGUUAAAAAGCUCGUAGUUGGAUUUCUGGUUGAAUGCGCCUGGCCCGCGGCGGUUACGUCAGUGAGUGCCGGUGUGUCUCUGCCAUCCUUCUGGAAAACGUUCCUACCUUUCAUUAGGCCGGGUUCGUGAUUCAGAUCAUUUACUUUGAAAAAAUUAGAGUGUUUAAAGCAAGCUUGCGCUAUGAAUACAUUAGCAUGGAAUAAUAAUUUAGGACUUUGGUCCUAUUUUGUUGGUUUCUAGGACUGAAGUAAUGAUUGAUAGGGAUAGUUGGGGGUGCUAGUAUUCAGCGGCCAGAGGUGAAAUUCUUGGAUUCGCUGAAGACUAACUUAUGCGAAAGCAUUCACCAAGGAUGUCUUCUUUAAUCAAGAACGAAAGUUGGGGGAUCGAAGACGAUCAGAUACCGUCGUAGUCUCAACCAUAAACUAUGCCAACUAGGGAUGAGUGAAAGUUGCAUUUUCGACUUCAUUUGCACCUUAUGAGAAAUCAAAGUUUUCGGGUUCCGGGGGGAGUAUGGUCGCAAGGCUGAAACUUAAAGGAAUUGACGGAAGGGCACCACCAGGAAUGGAGCCUGCGGCUUAAUUUGACCCAACACGGGAAAACUUACCAGGUCCAGACAUAAGUAGGAUUGACAGAUUGAAGAUCUUUCUUGAUUUUAUGGGUGGUGGUGCAUGGCCGUUCUUAGUUGGUGGAGUGAUUUGUCUGGUUAAUUCCGUUAACGAACGAGACCUCGACCUGCUAAAUAGUUCGACGAACCCUCCGGGGUUCGUACGUGACUUCUUAGAGGGACUAUCGGUGUGUAGCCGAUGGAAGUUCGAGGCAAUAACAGGUCUGUGAUGCCCUUAGAUGUUCUGGGCCGCACGCGCGCUACACUGACACUUUCAUCGAGCUUACAACCUUGGCAGAUAUGUCUGGGUAAUCUUUUAAAUCGCAUCGUGAUGGGGAUAGAUUAUUGUAAUUUUUAAUCUUCAACGAGGAAUUCCUAGUAAACGCAAGUCAUCAGCUUGCAUUGAUUACGUCCCUGCCCUUUGUACACACCGCCCGUCGCUACUACCGAUUGAAUGAUUUAGUGAGUACCACGGACUGGUGCGUUUGGUUGGGUUUCCAGCCUUGCGUGUCGGAAAGUGGUUCAAACUUGAUCAUUUAGAGGAAGUAAAAGUCGUAACAAGGUAGCCGUA